AACGCGAAGAUCCUUACCUAGCUCUUGGAGCUGUCUGGAAUCCCGAAGAGAUUUGGGAGUGCCGCAAGGAACCACGAAUUUCAGGUGCUGCAUGGCUGUUUGUCAGCUCGUGUCGUGAGAUGUUGGGUUAAGUCCCGCAACGAGCGCAACCCUUGCUCCUUAGUUGCCAUCAUUUAGUUGGGCACUCUAAGGAGACCGCCGGUGACAAACCGGAGGAAGGUGGGGAUGACGUCAAGUCAUCAUGGCCUUUAUGACCAGGGCUACACACGUGCUACAAUGGUAGAUACAGAGGGAAGCCAACUCGCGAGAGGGAGCCAGUCCCAGAAAAUCUAUCGUAGUCCGGAUUGGAGUCUGCAACUCGACUCCACUGAAGUCGGAAUCGCUAGUAAUCGCAGAUCAGCAUUGCUGCGGUGUAUUUUUUUUUUCCCGGGUCUUGUACACACCCG
This 446-nucleotide ribosomal RNA is filed under the name uncultured bacterium. RNAcentral describes it as "bacterial SSU rRNA". It matches the Rfam family "Bacterial small subunit ribosomal RNA", at positions 958 to 1393 of the family's 1533-position model. The record is from RNAcentral.